AUUUGUUAUAGCUUCAAGACAUUUAGAGUGAAGAACUAAGGAUUUAUCCUUCACCUCUUCAUCAUCCUUCAUCAGGAGCAACUAAGGUUAUUGAGAAAAUGUGGAGGUUGAAGAUAGCAGAUGGAGGGAAGAGUCCUUACAUAUUCAGCACAAACAACUUUUUAGGAAGGCAAAUAUGGGAGUAUGAUUCUGAAGCAGGAACUGAUGAAGAACGAGCACAGGUUGAAGCAGCUCGUCAACAUUUCUAUCAAAAUCGCUUUCAGCAAAAGGCAUGUGCUGAUCGACUUUGGCGAUUUCAGAUUUUGAGGGAAAAAGAAUUCAAACAAACAAUAAGCAAAGUGAAGAUAGAAGAUGAUGAGGAAAUUACAUGGGAGAAGGCUACUCAGACCAUAAAGAGGGCUUCUCAUUACCUUUCUGCACUGCAAACUAGUGAUGGUCAUUGGCCUGCUCAACUCGGGGGUUCUAACUACUUCGUUCCUGUAAUGAUCAUCUCCAUCUACAGUACAGGACAUCUUGAUACUGUAAUUUCAAAAGAACAUCGUAAAGAAAUUCUCCGUUACUUGUAUAAUCAUCAGAACGAAGAUGGAGGGUGGGGAUUACACAUAGAAGGUCCAAGCACAAUGUACGGUACCGCAUUCAAUUACGUAACUAUGAGAAUUCUUGGAGAAGGACCCAAUGGAGGUCAUAACAACGCUUGCGCUAAGGCCAGAAACUGGAUUCAUGAUCAUGGUACCAUAACACUUAUGCCUUCGUGGGGAAAAUUUUGGCUUUCGGUACUUGGUAUUGUUGAUUGGAGUGGAUGCAAUCCAAUGCCCCCUGAAUUUUGGAUACUUCCUACUUUUCUUCCCAUGCAUCCUGCUAAAAUGUGGUAUUAUUGUCGACAUGUAUACAUGCCCAUGUCAUAUAUAUAUGGGAAAAGAUUCGUGUGUCCAGUCACUCCAUUAAUCACAGAUUUGAGAGAAGAACUCUUUACUGAACCUUACGAUGAAAAUACUUGGAAAAAAGCUCGACACAAAUGUGCAAAGGAAGAUCUGUAUUAUCCGCAUCACUGGAUACAAGAUCUAAUAUGGGACAGUGCUUAUUUUUUGACUGAGCCACUUCUCACUCGCUGGCCUUUCAAUAAGAUCAGAGAAAAGGCACUUGAUGUAGCAAUUAAAGGUAUUCACUACGAAGAUGAAAAUACUCGAUACAUACAUGGUGGCUGUAUCAACAAGUCUUGCUCUUUGCUUGCUUCUUGGGUACACGAUCCAAAUGGAGAUUCCUUUAAGAAGCAUCUUGCAAGAGUCCCAGAUUAUUUAUGGCUUUCAGAAGAUGGAAUGUGUGUUCCGGGAGUUAAUACGCAAACAUGGGAUGUUGGUUUCAGUGUUCAAGCUUUUCUCGCUACGGGUCUAAUUGAUGAACUUGGUCCCACACUUGAAAAAGCACAUGAUUUUAUCAAGAAAUCUCAGGUAGUAGAAAAUCGUCCAGGAGAUUUCAAGAGUAGGUUUCAUCACAUUUCUAAAGGGGCAUGGACCUUUGCUGACAGAGACCACGGAUUACAACUUUCUGACGGCGCUGCAGAAUGUCUCAAGUGUUGUUUACUUUUAUCGAUGUUACCAAAAGAGAUUGUUGGAGAAAAAUUAGAACCUGAACGGUUAUAUGACUCGGUCAAUUUUCUGUUGUCCCUUCAGAGCAAAAAUGGAGGUUUGGCAGCGUGGGAGGCUGCAUUAGGUCAAAAGUGGUUGGAAAAUCUAAAUCCGGCGGAAUUUCUUGCUGACAUAGUGGUUGAGCACGAGUAUAUUGAGUGUACUGGAUCAACAAUUCAGGCUUUAGUAUUGUUUAAAAAGCUAUAUCCAAAUCAUAGAAGGGAAGAGAUAGAGAGGUUGAUUAUGAAAGCAGCUAAGUACAUUGAAGAUGAACAAUCACCAAAUGGAACUUGGGUUGGGAUCUGGGGAGUUUGUUUCACCUACAGUUCUUGGUUCGCACUUGGAGGUUUAGUUGCUGCUGGAAAGACUUACACUAACUGCGCCACCAUUCGUAAGGCUGUCAGAUUUCUACUCUCAAUACAGAACGAGGAUGGUGGUUGGGGAGAAAGUUAUCUUUCAUGUCAUAUGAAGACAUACGUGCCUCUUGAAGGAGAUCGAUCACAUGUUAGUCAAACAGCUUGGGCUCUAAUGGCUUUAAUUCAUGCCGGACAGGCUGAGAGAGAUCCAACACCUCUUCAUCGUGCUGCAAAGUUACUCAUUAAUUCUCAGCUUGAAGAUGGAGACUGUGGGAGCAUACAAGAGUAGUUGUUUGCUUCAUUAUCCACUCUAUAGAAGUUAUUUUUCGAUAUGGGCUUUAAGUGAAUACCGUAACAAAGUUUUAGUGUCUUGGACUACUUCGAAACUUGAGAAGUCUUAAAAUCAGUAAGACAAUGCCAUACCAUACAAAUAUCCUACAAAUAAAAUAAAAGUUGGUGAUCAACUUUAAUAACUAUUUCUAUUUUUUAUAAUUUUCAAAUUCUGAAACAAUAAGACGAGACAUGUUACUGAUGUGAUGUUUUAUUUUUAGAUGAAUCUUAUGAUGCGAGUCUUUGAUAUCAUUAUCUCAGAUUUACAAGAAAUUGAUGGCAAUGUUGUGAGGAUGAAGAUGUAGGAUGCUAAGCAUGCUUAACCAUGAAGUUCUUAUAGGUUAGGCUACCGAAAAACAAAUGCAUUUUGGUGAUAUGAGUAACCAAAUCAAUCCCUUUAAACUAUCCUUCAACUAUAUAGUCUCAUACCUAUACAGUCUCUAGAUCCCUCUCGUUCCAGUGUAUGUUCGAUUCGUCCAUAUGCCCCAAAAGUGGUUGGAAAAUCUGAAUCCGGCGGAAUUUCUUGCUGACAUAGUGGUUGAGCACGAGUGUAUUGAGUGUACUAGAUCAACAAUUCAGGCUUUAGUAUUGUUCAAAAAACUAUAUCCAAAGCAUAGAAGGGAAGAGAUAGAGAGGUUGAUUGUGAAAGCAGCUAAGUACAUUGAAGAUGAACAAUCACCAAAUGGAACUUGGAUUGGGAUCUGGGGAGUUUGUUUCACAUACAGUUCCUGGUUCGCACUUGGAGGUUUAACUGCUGCUGGAAAGACUUACACUAACCUGUCAAAUUUCUACUCUCCAUACAGAAUGAGGAUGGUGGAUGGAGAGAAAGUUAUCUUUCAUGUCCAAUGAAGGAGCGAUGAAGACGUACGUGUCUCUGGAAGUAAAUCGAUCAAAUGUAUGUCAAACAGCUUGGGCUCUAAUGGCUUUAACUUAUGCCGGACAGGCUGAGAGAGAUCCAACACCUCUUCAUCGUGCUGCAAAGUUACUCAUUAAUUCUCAGUUAGAAGAUGGCGAUUGGCCCCAACAAGAGGCUGUGAGGGCAUACAAGAGUAGUUGCUUGCUUCAUUACCCAUUUUAUAGAAGUUAUUUUCCGAUAUUGGCUUUGAGUGAAUACCGUAACAAAGUCUUAGUUCCUUGGACUAAUCCCAAACUUGAGAUGUGGUAAGAUCAGAAAGACAAUGUCAUACCAUACAAAUAUCCAACCGAUAAAAUCAAAGUUGGUGAUCAACUUUAAUAACUUUA
Vigna angularis (adzuki bean) is the source of this 3553-nucleotide RNA transcript. It is a transcript of the gene named beta-amyrin synthase, with no coding region annotated. Lineage: Eukaryota; Viridiplantae; Streptophyta; Magnoliopsida; Fabales; Fabaceae. The record is from RefSeq and is a predicted model, not a curated record. The transcript is spliced from 23 exons.